UACGUAGGUGGCAAGCGUUGUCCGGAUUUAUUGGGCGUAAAGAGCUCGUAGGCGGUUCGUCGCGUCGGCUGUGAAAACCCGGAGCUCAACUCCGGGCCUGCAGUCGAUACGGGCGGACUCGAGUUCGGCAGGGGAGACUGGAAUUCCUGGUGUAGCGGUGAAAUGCGCAGAUAUCAGGAGGAACACCGGUGGCGAAGGCGGGUCUCUGGGCCGAUACUGACGCUGAGGAGCGAAAGCGUGGGGAGCGAACAGG
Molecule: ribosomal RNA, 253 nt
Filed under: uncultured bacterium
Lineage: Bacteria
Description: partial 16S ribosomal RNA
Rfam family: Bacterial small subunit ribosomal RNA
Source: RNAcentral